CCUACGGGUGGCAGCAGUGGGGAAUAUUGGACAAUGGGCGAAAGCCUGAUCCAGCCAUGCCGCGUGUGUGAAGAAGGCCUUCGGGUUGUAAAGCACUUUCAGUGGGGAAGAAAGCCUUGGGGCUAAUACCCUCGAGGAAGGACAUCACCCACAGAAGAAGCACCGGCUAACUCCGUGCCAGCAGCCGCGGUAAUACGGAGGGUGCGAGCGUUAAUCGGAAUUACUGGGCGUAAAGCGCGCGUAGGCGGUCUGAUAAGCCGGUUGGGAAAGCCCCGGGCUCAACCUGGGAACGGCAUCCGGAACUGUCAGGCUAGAGUGCAGGAGAGGAAGGUAGAAUUCCCGGUGUAGCGGUGAAAUGCGUAGAGAUCGGGAGGAAUACCAGUGGCGAAGGCGGUCUUCUGGACUGACACUGACGCUGAGGUGCGAAAGCGUGGGUAGCAAACAGGAUUAGAUACCCGAGUAGUC
Molecule: ribosomal RNA, 465 nt
Filed under: Vreelandella stevensii
Lineage: Bacteria; Pseudomonadati; Pseudomonadota; Gammaproteobacteria; Oceanospirillales; Halomonadaceae
Description: partial 16S ribosomal RNA
Rfam family: Bacterial small subunit ribosomal RNA
Source: RNAcentral